CGCGCAGGUGGUUUCUUAAGUCUGAUGUGAAAGCCCACGGCUCAACCGUGGAGGGUCAUUGGAAACUGGGAGACUUGAGUGCAGAAGAGGAUAGUGGAAUUCCAAGUGUAGCGGUGAAAUGCGUAGAGAUUUGAGGAACACCAGUGGCGAAGGCGAUCUUCUGGCACAAAACUGACGCUCAUGUGCGAAAGCUAGGGCAGCGAACG
This 206-nucleotide ribosomal RNA is filed under the name uncultured bacterium. RNAcentral's name for it is "partial 16S ribosomal RNA". It matches the Rfam family "Bacterial small subunit ribosomal RNA", at positions 568 to 774 of the family's 1533-position model. The record is from RNAcentral.